This 817-nucleotide ribosomal RNA is filed under the name Streptomyces sp. TAP3-10_Pa. RNAcentral describes it as "bacterial SSU rRNA". It matches the Rfam family "Bacterial small subunit ribosomal RNA", at positions 58 to 892 of the family's 1533-position model. The record is from RNAcentral. Lineage: Bacteria; Bacillati; Actinomycetota; Actinomycetes; Kitasatosporales; Streptomycetaceae.
CAAGUCGAACGAUGAAGCCUUCGGGUGGAUUAGUGGCGAACGGGUGAGUAACACGUGGGCAAUCUGCCCUGCACUCUGGGACAAGCCCUGGAAACGGGGUCUAAUACCGGAUAAUACUGUGCCCCUCAUGGGGGACGGUUGAAAGCUCCGGCGGUGCAGGAUGAGCCCGCGGCCUAUCAGCUUGUUGGUGGGGUAAUGGCCUACCAAGGCGACGACGGGUAGCCGGCCUGAGAGGGCGACCGGCCACACUGGGACUGAGACACGGCCCAGACUCCUACGGGAGGCAGCAGUGGGGAAUAUUGCACAAUGGGCGAAAGCCUGAUGCAGCGACGCCGCGUGAGGGAUGACGGCCUUCGGGUUGUAAACCUCUUUCAGCAGGGAAGAAGCGAAAGUGACGGUACCUGCAGAAGAAGCGCCGGCUAACUACGUGCCAGCAGCCGCGGUAAUACGUAGGGCGCAAGCGUUGUCCGGAAUUAUUGGGCGUAAAGAGCUCGUAGGCGGUCUGUCACGUCGGGUGUGAAAGCCCGGGGCUUAACCCCGGGUCUGCAUUCGAUACGGGCAGACUAGAGUGUGGUAGGGGAGAUCGGAAUUCCUGGUGUAGCGGUGAAAUGCGCAGAUAUCAGGAGGAACACCGGUGGCGAAGGCGGAUCUCUGGGCCAUUACUGACGCUGAGGAGCGAAAGCGUGGGGAGCGAACAGGAUUAGAUACCCUGGUAGUCCACGCCGUAAACGUUGGGAACUAGGUGUUGGCGACAUUCCACGUCGUCGGUGCCGCAGCUAACGCAUUAAGUUCCCCGCCUGGGGAGUACGGCCGCAAG